Molecule: long non-coding RNA, 427 nt
Organism: Vigna angularis (adzuki bean)
Lineage: Eukaryota; Viridiplantae; Streptophyta; Magnoliopsida; Fabales; Fabaceae
Exons: 2
Source: RefSeq, a predicted model, not a curated record
UGACUUUGGCGUGAGAGUGUCUUCUAAGGUCAAACACCGAUCGAAUACGGAGCAAGGCAGGACAGGACGCUUGUCCCUACAUAACCAAAACAUAUAUCAAUCCGCUGAGGAUUGCAUUUAAGGAAAGAAUAUUUCUCCAAAAUUGAAUUACUAUGAAGAUCAUAUUCUCACUUUUCAUGAUUAUACUUCUUUCUAUUAGAAUUGAAAAUGAGGGGCCAAUGAUAGUGGUAGAGGGGAAGAUCUGUGAUGUAAAGUUGUAUGACUUCUGUGAUCAGAGCUGUUUCAGGGAUUGUCCAAAGAUUUAUGGGCCAAAAGCAGCUAGUAUUUGUAAUUUUAAUCCUGAAGAGUGCAUAUGUCGUAGACAGUGUUAAGUGAUUACUACAAAAGGCAUGCUGGAUUCAAAUAAUUAAAAUAGUUAUUUUGUUUA